This 23237-nucleotide long non-coding RNA is filed under the name Chlamydomonas reinhardtii. Its description in RNAcentral is "long non-coding RNA (CREI_LNC000579)". The record is from RNAcentral. Lineage: Eukaryota; Viridiplantae; Chlorophyta; Chlorophyceae; Chlamydomonadales; Chlamydomonadaceae.
GCAGGGCAGCAUCCCGCCCACCCUAGGAACUAGCUCGGUAUGCCCGACAGCAUACAAGAGGAGCUCACCUUGCGCGUGGAUAAUUUGGUCCGCCCUCGCGGGUUUGAGCCCGGCUUGCUGGAGGCCUGUAUAGCUGGCAUCCUUCAGGUCAUCCAGCGUAGCGUAGCCACCCUCCAAUAGCAGGCGCAGGUCUGCGUCGGUGAACCUGCCAGCUCUUGCAGGCCCGAGCAGGCUCUCCAAAGCCGCCCGCAGGCCGACCAAAGCCAUAUCCUAGGGCCAACCCCAAGUGCGUUACUAUACAGGGAUUCGCAAAGUCUUUUGGAUAUUUUGAGUGCAAAGUAGUUGGGUAUGAACAGUCGCGCGCUCCCAUCCGGCGGUGCACGAUUCGGGCUUUCGCGAAACCGAACGCCCCUCCCCCGCAACGCCCCUCCCCCUGCUGCUUGGCGGAAGGUUGUAAAUACCAGCCCAAAAUAAACCAAAACCAACGAAAACGGGAGUGCAGGCAGAGGCGUUAGUUGCGAGCGAUAAUACUUGUGGGAUGUGGGCCGAGGCGUCGCGGAGCGGGGGGGAGGGAAACCCUUCCCCUACACCCUCUCCCUGUGCAGCUCGGAGUGCGGUGGGGAGUGGGGACUGGGGAGCCCUGUGGCUAAUAGCUGGGCUCAAGCUAGCGAUGGGUUAUCAGAUGGCACCGGCUUGCUCCGCCUGGCGCGUCGUCUAGGGACUCACACAGUCCUAUGGACGUGCCGGUCGCGACCACGGAGUACACCCGUGGGCUCGGCCAUAGCUUUAACGGGAUUAUGCAGCUGUUGGGCCGGCAUCAUCGACGCGGGGGUAGCGGUUUGCUGCAUUCCUCCUUCCCAUGUAUCUGUGAUGGUCUUUACCCUGUUCCCCUCUUGCACUUCCUGCUCUGGCUAGAAUGCGAAUGGCGAGAUUAACUCUCCCGCAACAAGCUGCCGCACCAGUAUGCAAAAAGGCGCCACAUGUUAUCCACAGGCGGAGCGGGCCGCAGAGCCACCGCGGCAGCCGCUACAAUACAAUGCCACACAUGCUGCCCCACCACGCCACCACAUGCCCGCAGCUCCCCCAUUUCUCCCUACUUUCGCCAAAUUCUCAAUCGCAGCCCUACUCCGCGAGUAGCCCCACCAGCUUGCAAGAUGAACGGCAUCAUGCUAGGACAACCCAUCAAACCCAGGAGCAUUAUUAUGCAGUCGUGUGUUAACGGCACUCUGCAGCUAGCUUCAGUCCCUAUCACCAUCUUCCUGUUGACUACGCGACCUAGCCACUCCUUCCUGUAAUACUGGUUUCUCUCUCUCCCAACACAAAUGCACCGUGUUUACUACGCUAUUUGCGCAUCCUCGCCUUGAAGCAGCCGUAACGCACACAAAAGAUAGAGUAAGGUGCGUCUGUCCCACCCGGCCGCCGCGCCAGCUCAUAUCUGCCCAGCAAGCGGAGCAAAGCUGCCGCCGCCUGUCCGCCAUAUCGUACACAAAUGCGCUACUACAGCAUCUACACUCCCAACGAAUGCCGUGGGGGUGCAGUGCCUUCAAAAUGAAUAUCUCUCCAGCGCAUCCACACCCGGCAAAAACACACAGACGCACGUGCAUGGUGAUGCUACCCGCUCUGCGUUCUGCUGUCAUGGCGCCGUAAGAUGCAUUUUGACUUGCGUGUCGUUCGCAUGCCAGCACUCGGUUGCAUGCACUCGCAUGCCAGCACUCAUUUGUGUGCACACAGUGCGGUGGCAACAAUACAAGCGUGUACACUAGUUCAUCAGUUAAUCUUGCGCAUUACACUCGUGUCAGCUAGCUGCAUGUCAUCCAGGAGACUGCCGCCGCCAUGGCCACCGCUAUAACGUAGUGCAUGGCCAGCGGCACCGGAUCCGCCCAGAGGCCAGGCGGGCAGCCGCAUGCACAAAGAUGGCGGCCAGAAGGCCACAGCCCCCCCUCCGCAAUCCACACCAGGCCACACCGCACCCACCGCACCCGGGGCCGCUGCUGCUGUUGCUGCGUGCCCCUGCAGCAGCCAUCCAGCUGGCACCCUGACUGCUCCAGCAGCAGCCCGCUGAACGCGAACAGGUGCACCUGCAGCGUCGUGUUCAUGAUGAUGCCACACCCCAGCAGCCACCACUGCAACCUACCAGUGCGCGGCGCCCCGCCGGUCUUACUCCACCAAUGGCAUGCAUGGCGGCCCGCUGAAGGCAUCCAGGAGGAUGCUGGCCCGUUCCCUGACCGGCACCAGGACGACGGCCACCAGGUAGCAAGGGCCGACUCCUGUUGAUUUUUUGGGGGGGCGUGCAUUGGGAUGUAAGCGCCACCCCUGACAGCAGGCAGACGAGGACGCGCAUGCAUACUGGAGUGCUUGGUGCGUGGCGGGCUGGAUGGCAUUGGCAUCACACCAGUGGUUGGAGGUGGUCGGCAACUAUCCACCAACGUGCCGGCAGCCAACACAUGAGCUCUGGUGCCCAAUGUCUCAUGCAUGCCGAAACGUUGGACACCCAACAGGACACACCACCACAAGCCACACCGAGCAAGAACGUUACGUUCACAGUAGCCAGGCAGUCAACAACCGUGUCCCGAUGUUGCCGAUUGCACUGCUGUACUGUCCGCAUGUCACUUUGCCCCACAAUAACCCAGCGCCCUGGCAUUUGUGCUCCCCACCCCACCCUGUACACAGCACACAGCCCCAAGACCUGGCAUCCAGCUACUCACCCUGCUAGUCGCUCUGCUGAUGCAAGCACCUACAUGUGCGGGCAGUGGGAGCCAUCAGCGUUGCCACAUAAAACAUGGAAAACGAUACAAGCCAUCCCGCAUCGGUUGUGUCGCCCGUAUCUCGUGCCCGUAUCUCACCCCGAAACUACGAAUACAAAGGCAGCGACAGGGGCAGGGAUGGGGCGGGGGUCCGGGCCUCCUCGGGCGGUUGAGCGAAGUCUGCAGCUCGCAUCCACGAGCUGACCAGCUCCAGCUCCGCCGACUCGUGCUCCUCUGGCGGCAUGAAGGGCAGCUAGUACUCCUGCUGCUCCUGCAGCGCGGCCUCGCCGCCAAACGUGGGGCUAAGGACCUGCUGCACGUGGCGCAUGGUCCGCUGCUCCUCCUCGGGGAUUUGGUGCAGCUGCAGGUUGAGGCCCGCCCGCACGCUGCCCGCCGCCCGCAGGUGCUGCGCCUGCAAGUAGUACGCCUGCACAGUAGAGCAUCCAUGACACGCGGCGGUAGCACACUGCUAAAUGGAUAUUGUUUUGAAAAGAAUGUGUAAGCUAUGUACCUACCUGUGUCGGCGUCAGAUUAUCCCACACGAGCAAGUACUUGUUGCGUAUCGUGUAGACGUUGUGCUUCCGGCCAUCCGUCAGGUCCAAAAGCACCGGGCAGCGGCCCCAGGCAUAUGCCCCCAGCAGCUCCACGACCGCUUGGCGUUUGCGGGGUGCCUGUCAGUCCGGAAAUCCGCAUACCAGACUGUCUUUUGUCCCAACGUGCCUAACGCUUCAUACGCACAAGUAAGUACCCUUCUACUCGCGGACCAUUAGAUGCACCCAUACGCCGUACGGCGGCCGGACACACCUGGAUGGCAGCAUGAAUGCAUAGUGGGAACUGCGCUCACCCAUGCAGCGCUCACCUUAAUGUUGAGCUCGUGCUCAUAGAUGAUCCGAAGUUGGUGCACAAGACUCCGCUCCGUCAGGCCGUACGGGGCGACGCAGCCGUCAAAGCCGCCGUUGAAGGACUUCUCACCACAUGUGAACCCCAAGAGCUUGCCCUUGCUGUGGUUAUCGUACAUCUCAAAACCGCCCAGCUUGUCAAACACGACGCCAAGCUUCAUCAACUGCUGCUGGUGGUGCUGAAGGAGCGCUGGCGUCAUGGCAUCCUCACUGCGGCCCUCCUGUUGCACAAAGCUGGCACAUUCUGGUGUGCCUUCCGGCACCUGCACCUCCUGCGGCGCCACCACCUCGCCACGGACCUCCACCAGCUUGACACUCCUUAUGAGGGUGUCCACGUCCUGGCUGCCCACUGAGGAGAAGGACUGAGGCUUGCGCGCACGCCACUGCUUCGCCUCCAUCUCAAGCCACGUCUCCCGGAUUGCCGCACGUACAAGUUCGCGCAGCGACUCUGUCCAAGGGAGCACACGACAGCAUUUAUCAGGGACACGUCAGCACGAGCCUUCAAUCAAUAGCACCCAAGCCCACGCGCACGCACUCAGCAGACAUGCCGCCGGUCUGGGAGGGAUGUUUGAGGUCUGGAGGGACGUUUCAAAGGGCACGGUACUUUGACAAAGUUCGCAUGUAGAAUAUAAUCCAGAAUUUGGCAGAAUUUUUACCCGCGGCUAACGCGACCGUGUCUAUGAUACGUCGCCACCUAUCCCGUAGCUGGGGUGGGGUCGUAUGGGGGUGCGUUCAAGUAUGGGGGUGCGUUCAAGUAUGCUUGGCACGGUCGGACACAACAGUUAUCGGGCCGACCUACACAAUAGCAGAAAGUGGUUAGCUACUGAUUAAAGGCAUCGACAACCCGAAAGACUUGUUUGCGGGCUGAUGGAAGAUGUCGCAGCCGAGAUGCCUGACAAAGCUUGACACGCAUAUCGCCCGUACUUGAGUUAUUGUUGAUCUCUAUUGUCUGUCAUACAGGUCCUGAAGGCUUGACGCGACUUUCGCCCUAUGCAAUACCCGUCUGUUUGGAGCGAUAUACGAAGUAGUAGUAACGCGUGCUCAGUCACCGCCCCCGACCACUUUCCGCGGCCAUGAACACUCACCGGCGCCUGCCUGCUCCGUGCUCCCCCCGGCGCUACCGAGCGUAGGGCCACCGGCUACACCUGAAAUGAGGGAGGGCGGCAAAGGUGGCACGCAGAGGUCGUCACCUGAAGGCAGCUGCAGUUGCUGUGACGCGCAUCAUUUGGGCUGUUGACACGACGACCAGCACAGUGACAGCAGAAAUGACGUGCCCUUAGUCCCAAGCACUUGACCGGGUGUAGGCUGUCCCGCCUGCCUGCUGGCCGCCCCUUGGCGCCACGCCUGGCACGCUGCUAGUGUUUCCACCAAGAACCCACUCGCACCGAUACCCGAUGGCCCCACUCUAUUGCCGCCGAUUCCCAACAAAACGUGUGCCAAACCCCACCCUACGGCCUCGUGGAAAUGCUCACCAGCAGCAGCCGGCAGCGAGUCUGCAGGAGCAGGCAGAACGGAUCCCAGUGAGACUGUAGCUUCAAGUUUGCGGGCAAACAACUGCCCCGAUACGCUUGGGUCCAUUAAGCACAGUCACUGGUCAUUCAAGCAAUCAGUCGCCAUUGGGACCCGCACAGCUGUUCCCCCAGCGGCAGAGGUAGCUCCCCGCUGGCCAAUGGCCAGCCUAUGCAUGAGCCUAAGCCGCCGCAUGAUGCUAAAGUUGGUGUUUUUGCUCAGGUCAAAGUCGCCCAAUGAAAACUCACCGACUCCUGCCGCACUCCCCACGCCCAGGCCAGCCGCCGAGGCUGCACGACAUACGAGCGGUCGGGGGACACACGCAUACCAUGAGUUGCACGUCCAAGUUUGCAGACGCGACGCGCGGAAACGCGAAGCGCGCUUGCGUUACGCUGCCAAUUAUGCCGUCCUGGUCCCGACGUGCAUGUCGCUGCACGUCUGACGCGCACCAGCUCUCCCAACCACCCAGGGACGCUUCCCAAGCUUCCCGCAUACCGUAGCGCGCAACAAUAGCCCCAACAUGCGUUUCGGAUAUUCAUCGGUUGGUUGGUCAGUCGGACACGCCCAGCUGUGCCCACAGCGGCGAAAGUAGACUCCCGCGAACGGCAACAUCACCAGCUCGAAUGCUCAUCCGGCUGAUGCCUGUGGCCUACCUUACUAGGUAGACCCGCAGCAUGCUGCAUGCAUGCAUAAGAGGACCUCACCUUGCGCGUGGAUAAUUUGGUCCGCCCGCGCGGGUUUGAGCCCGGCUUGCUGGAGGCCUGUAUAGCUGGCAUCCUUCAGGUCAUCCAGCGUAGCGUAGCCACCCUCCAAUAGCAGGCGCAGGUCUGCGUCGGUGAACCUGCCAGCUCUUGCAGGCCCGAGCAGGCUCUCCAAAGCCGCCCGCAGGCCGACCAAAGCCAUAUCCUAGGGCCAACCCCAAGUACGUUACUAUACAGGGAUUCGCAAAGUCUUUUGGAUAUUUUGAGUGCAAAGUUGGGUAUGAACAGUCGCGCGCUCCCAUCCGGCGGUGCACGGAUUCGGGCUUUCGCGAAACCGAACGCCCCUCCCCCGCAACGCCCCUCCCCCUGCUGCUUGGCGGAGGGUUGUAAAUACCAGCCCAAACUAAACCAACCAAAACCAACGAAAACGGGAGUGCAGGCAGAGGCGUUAGUUGCGAGCGAUAAUACUUGUGGGAUGUGGGCCGAGGCGUCGCGGAGCGGGGGGGAGGGAAACCCUUCCCCCUACACCCUCUCCCUGUGCAGCUCGGAGUGCGGUGGGGAGUGGGGACUGGGGAGCCCCGUGGCUACUAGCUGGGCUCAAGCUAGCAAUGGGUUAUCAGAUGGCACCGGCUUGCUCCACAUGGCGCGUCGUCUAGGGACUCACACAGUCCUAUGGACGUGCCGGUCGCGACCACGGAGUACACCCGUGGGCUCGGCCAUAGCUUUAACGGGAUUAUGCAGCUGUUGGGCCGGCAUCGACGCGGGGGUAGUGGUUUACUGCAAUCCUCCUUCCCACGUAUCAGUGAUGGAAUGAUGGUGCUCACUACCCCCAUCUUGUACUACCUCGGACAUACGUGCCGUUGUUGUUUGCCAUCUGCUGGGGACUGGGAAUCAGCUGCACCUACAGGACUUCACCAAUCAAUCUGCCUUAACCCUGUCCCAUCGCACACUCUUCUUGCACUACGUACCUCGGACAAAAUCUACUCCUGCAAUGUCGCCCAUGCCUUGCAGGUCUCGCCUGCAGUUCAUCCUCUUCUCAACGUACACCUACGUCAACCUGCUUGUGCCUCUGGGAACGAUGCGGUGCCAGCAGGCCCUUCACAACGCUCAUUCCGCCUGCAUGGUGAGCCUGCGGACACAACCACGCCCGGCCAUACAAUUUGCCCUCUUACCAGCCAGGACAACUAAUCCUCCCACCGUUCCCACCGCCCACACGCCAAGAGUCAGUAACACCCGCUAUCUACACGGCAGCCUCAGCUGGCCUUGCACGUGUCAUUCUACCAGCUAGUAGAUAGCGCCCCGCCUAACAGCUAGCUACUGCGUGCGCCGGCGCUUCAUGGCCGCUGCGAAGCCAAACGCGCUGUUGUACUGCUUCUGCGGCGGCCUACAGACAGCAGCAGAUAGAGAGGUGCGCGGACAGCAGAUGGGGGCAGGGUGGGGUGAGGUCUUUGAGAACCACGCACAGGUGUUGCUGCCAUUGACCCUGCGCCGAGGCCUGAGCUAACGCUUGCUCGCUUGCUGCACCCACUGCAGGACGCAUGUGGCCGAGUGGCGGCGCAAGCUCUGAGCUUGUGGCGCAAGCUCUGAGCUUGUGCACCAUUUCCGCCAAGCCAGCUGCCUCACCCCCAUCGCUCGGGGCCCCCAGCCUCAGCCCCAGCCCCAGCCCCAGCCCCAGCCCCAGCCCCAGGCUCGGCCCCAGCACCAGCACAACCCCACAGGCAAUCCAGCCGACCAACCCGUCCUCCAUUCCACCCCGCUGGCCCCGCCGCUCCGUUGCGCUUGCUUGUACCUACCCCGCCCGCUCACCCGUCCGGCAGCGCCCCCGGCAGCCCCGCCAUGACGCCGCGCUGCUUGGCACGCUCUGCCUGCUCCCGAGCCAGGCGCUCAGCCCGCAGCUGCUCCAGGGACUUGGAGCCGCCGCUGCCGCCACCGCCACCGCCGCCAGCGGUUACAACGGCAGCAGCGUCGCUGCGGCGUCGCUUCUUGCCGCUGCGGUCCUUGCCGCCACCGCUGCGGCUGCGACGGCUGCCGUCUUUGCCGCCGCGGCUGCUUUUCGGCUUCUUGUGCCUGGAGGAGGAGCGGGCUUUGCUAUCGCGCUUGUGGCUGCGGCUGCGGCUCCGGUGGUCGCGUUUGGCGGAAGGAGAUGAGGAGCGACGAUGCUCACGCCGCCUCCGCCGCUGGCGCUCAUCAAUGCUGCUGUCGCUAUCGCUGCCGCUGCUACUGCUAGCGCUACUACUGCUGGUGCUGCUACUGCUGUAGGAAGUGUUGCUGUCACCUGUGUCACUGGAGCUGUCUGACGUGUAGUCUGAGGAUAACGAUGAUGACGUGUGCGUGCCUGUCGGCGGGUUGUCGUGUUUCCGCUUGUGAUUCCGCUUGCGCCCUUCACGAUCGUGCCUCAACGCUGGCGCCGCUACUAGCAGCUGUUGCUGCUGCUGGGAUUGCCUGCUCCUGGCGCCGCCGAGUAGAGCGCUGGCGGCAGCGCCGCUGCCGGGCAGGGCGGCGAGCGCCCCACCGACCGGCUCCCGUGGCUCGGGUUUAAGCGGCUGUGCGUACCAGGGCUGCAGUGCAUACGGCGGUAUGCAUAUGAGGUUGGGCAGGUGGAUCGGGGUGACAAAGCGAGCAACUGUAUGCCCAUAACAAGAUAUUUGUGUAACACAACAACCCCAGUUCGUUUGUCGGAGUGCUAGAAGCCGGUCACCGCCGCGCGCGGGCGCAGCAUGGGAGGAGAAUAGCUUUGCCUGGCUUACUUGGCGCACCCGCCUGCACCCCACGUCCGCAUGCAGCCCGUUGCAGCACGCUGCAGCCCAGUUCAAACCCAUACAUACGGUGCCCCAGCCAAAGGGUGCCCCAGCGUUCCCCUAACGGCUCUCACACGGCACAUAGCAGCACCUCCCCAGCGGCCCACCUUGUCCCCUCCGAUGAUGCCGUACCCCAGCGCGAACCGCUCAUCGAACUUGGCGUCACUGGUGUAGAAGUCAGGGUUGCCCCGCCGCUUGGCCGCCUCGCGCUGCUCCUUCUGCGGGAGGGUUGCGUGGCACACGGUGACAUGGCAUCGAAGGUGCAUACAGAACGAAUGCGCCCGGUGUCGGCACAAGACGAGUACACGGCGUCUGGCGCGGCACGUGGCAUGGGGCUCAAGGCAGGCCGCAUUGCGGGCUCUAGGACUCAACAGGACUCAGGCGGGGCCUGCAGCCGGCUGUGACACAGAGCCCCGCGUCGGCCAGCGGUCCUGUCCUGUCCUCCAGGCGUACGUACCUCGUUCUCAGGGUGCUGCAGCUUCGUCUCCUGCUCCUUCCAGAAGUUGAUGUGCUCCAACUUCUUGUCUGGCUGGCCGUCCGCAGCCCCUGAGCCUCCUGCUUCUGCGCCCUCCUGGUCUGUCGCCGCCGCAGCUGCGCCGUCACCCUCAGCCCCGCCUCCCAGUUCGAGUCCCGCGUCACCGCCCGCUCUCCGAAGCAGCAGCGCAUGCCUGUGCUCGCGCUCCGCCUGCUCGUGCCGCUCCCGCGCCUCGUCCUCUUUGGCCUGGGCCUUGGCCUCGUCCUGAGCAACCUUCAGCCGGUUAUCCCGGUUGUAGACUGCAUCGCGAGCGGCGCGGGAGCGAUUGGGGGUUUGGCAGCGUGAAGUUGGCCCAAGGGACAGGGCUCAGUGGGCCCCAGAUCCCCGGUAGUUCCUUUGGAGCCAUGUAAGGGCUCCGUUCUCCUUGGCUCACCGUUCCAUCGCUUCUGCGGCAGGAUAUUGAGGCCUCCGUGACCGCCCAUUUCGGUUCUGCAGGCUUCUACGCUUCUUCUGGACGAUGUAGAUUGAAGACCAUCGUAUAGUUAGUAUGUGCUUCCUUCAGAGUAAUAGCAGCGCUCGCGUGCACUCUGGUUGAUUGGGGUUCCCCAAGUUUUGCAUUCAUUGGUUUUCCAAUUCGGCUUUCCAUGCGUACUGCGCUCUGUGCUGCCAUUCAUACUUUGCCUUACUCUGCAGCGUCUUUCGUUCAGCCUUUACAUUGAGAACAUUCCUGCCAAAACUGCUCAGACCUGACCGCUGAAACGCCUCCACGCACUGGAAUUGAACCUUUAUCGCGUUCGUAUGAUGUCUAAUGUAACUAGGGGGCUAGGCUGCCUGGCCGGCCCCCCGGGGCGCGGGCAUUUGCCGCUGACCGCCAGGACCGCACUGUGGUGACGGCAGUACAGCAGCAGCAGUAGGCGCCGCGAUGCCCUUGGAGGCGUGGGAGGUCUUUGACGCCUCCAAUGAGGAGCUGCUGGCGGAGCUGCAGAGCCUGCAGCAGCUGCUCAGGGCGGGGCAGACCCAGUAAGAAGGGCGGGUGGGUGGGUGGGAAGGGCUCUCAGGGCCUGGGUUCAGGGGGAAGAAAGACAAGCUCACCAGGACCUUCUUUCGCCGAAGCCGGGCCCUAUUGAUUCACCUCCUCUGCUGCUGGCUCGCUGUUGUUUUCCACAACAGGCACAAACUGCUGUACGACACCGUACGGCAGGAGCUGGAGGAGCGGGGCGUGUCCAACAAGGUCAUGGCGCAGCUAGCGCCCCCGGCCCCGCCCGCGGCGGCUGCAGCGCCGGUGCGAGCCGCUCCGCUUUAUGAUAGGGUGCUCAAGCUCACCUGCGUUGUGUGUGUGUGUGUGUGUGUGUGUGUGUGUGUGUGUGUCUGUGUGCGUGCGCGUGUGUGUGCAUGUGUGUGCAUGUGCGUGCGUGCGCGUGCGUGCGCGUGCGGCGUGAACCCCACGCUACUUUGCAACCUGCAGUCUGGCAGAUUGCGGUCUAGGCUUGGUGCAGCCGCGGCGUGCUCGUGCCCACCUUUGCGCCCGCUCCUCGCAAACUCACACAGACGCCGCCCCUGCACCGCUGCCCCCUUUUCUCCGCGCAGACAUUGCUGCCAGCCGUGUCCGCACACGCCCCGCUCUCGGCACAGACCUCCUCCGCUUUCCUGCUGCACGGCCACAGCCACGGCCACAGCCACGGGCAGGGUUACGGACCCGUGCACGGGACCGCGUACGGCCAUGGGCAGUACGCGUCAGCGCACCUCAGUCCCGCAGCGGCGCCGCCACCCGCGCCGCCGCCGUCGCCGCCCCCGGUCCAGCAUGCGGAGGUGGUGGUGGUGCCACAGCAGCAUGUGACACCGGUUGCCGCGUUGUACUCGUUCGGGUCGUUUGGAGGCGGAGGAGCCGGCGGCGGAGGUGGAGGAGGUGGGACGGGUGGUGGAAGCGGGGCGUUGCACCAAGCACAGCAGCUACAGCAGCCGGCCUCUGCCACGCGCCCCCACGCCCCCGUGCCAGCACCAGCGCCGGUGCCAGCGCCGACGCCCCUGCCGCCAACUCCGGCGGCAGUGGCAGCAGCAGCAGCAGCAGCUACAGCCGCGGCCAUUAGCCCAAUGUACCGCAACUACGACGUCGGGCCGUCGGGCCACAAGGAGCAGGCACAGCCGCAGGCCCCGGCGGCCUCUCCUGCUGCUACUGCCGCUGCUACUGCCGCAGUAGUGCGGGGCUCUAGCGGCGACGGCGGCAGCGGUGACUACAGCGAAGAUGACAUGGAGGGCGGGGACUCGGACAGUGAGGGGGGCGAGGAAGACGACACGGAGGGCGGCGGCGCCGCGCCGGAGGGGGAGGCCUCGGCAGCGGCGUCGACGCCGGCGGCGCCGUCCAAGCCGCCACUGAGUGUGUGGGAGGCGGCGAUGUUGGCGUUCCAGGAGGAGCAGAAGAAGCUGCGCAGGGUGCGGCGGAGGUGCACGGCGGCCUUAAGCUCGGAGCGGGGUUAUACGCUGGGGAUUGCAGGAAUGGCUGAAAGCUAGGAUGGGGUUGCGAGCCAGCUGCUUACAUGUUAUGCGGGCUUGCCUGACUAACCAACUGCCUACCUUUGCGUGGCCCUGGCGCAGGCGCGCAAGGCCAUCCGCAAGGGCCCGGCCAAGCCGGCGCCCAAGAAGCCGGCGGUGCUGGUGCCGCCCGCGCCGCAGCACGCCAGCGGGCACGCCCACUCCGGCCCCACGCCCACGGGCCUAGCGGGCGAGGCCUCCGCCGCCUCCGCUUCCGGCCGUGGCGGUGGCGGCAGCAGGCCGCCGCGGCCCUCCGGCAGUGGUGGCCCGGCCUCAACCGGCGGGGCCGCGGGGCGAGGCGGCGGCGGCUUCGGGGCAGCGGCCCUGGCGGCGGGCGCGGCGGUUGUGGGCGUGGGCGGCAAGGGGCCGGUGUCGCCUGGGUCGCUGGGGGCGGGCGUGGUGGCUGGCGGCGCCAAACCGGCGCACCCGGGCGCGGCGGCGGGCCCGGGGCGGCCUGUGAGCAUGACUACGGCAUCUGGCGGCUCCGCCGCUGGUACGCCCGGUGCUGCUACUGCGGGUGGAGCGGCCGGACAGGCGGCUACAGCCACGACCUCUGCAGCUGCAGCAGGCCGUGCGGCCGAGACCGCGGCGGGGGCGAGCAAAGCCGCUGUGCCCGGGGCGGGGUCGGGCGCCGGGGCUGGGCAUGGGCACGGCGACACGGUGGCAGAGGAACAGGGGCUGGCCGGCCGGACGGAGGCGGCACCGACGGCGGCAGCGGACGUGGAGUCACGGGAGACGUCGGAGACAGGCAGCGUCAAGGUGCGUUGCAAACAAUGCUAAGGUCAAGAAUGGUUGCUCCUUUGGUGCUCUGUGUAGUUUGAUGGCAGCAUGUGCAUUUGUCUGAUGUCUUGCUAUGCCGUUAACCACUAGCAGCUGCGAUUUGCUUACCUGCCUUGCUGGUUUUGCUCCCCCGGCAGACGGACGAGGAGUCAAAGGAGGUUCUCAACAAUUCCAUGCGGGAAGCAGCCGCCGCCGCCGCCGCCGCAGCAGCAGCAGCCGCAAGCGAGUCUGACUCCGAGCCUGAGUCAGUGAGCUCAGGCGGCAGCUCUCCGCAUCGACAGGUUGUGCCGGGGCCAGGCGCUGCGGCUCCUCCGUCGCGAGCGCUGUCCGCUCAGGCGGCGCCCUCGCCAGCGGCCGCCGUGCCUCUCUCACACAGGCCGGGCAUGCCGACUAUGACGUCUGUGGGGCCGCGGUCAUUCAGCGCUCAGGCGGCGGCCGCUGCUGCCGGGGCCAGGGCUGCUGGGGGCGCUGGCGCGCGCACGCCGCAGCAAGCGGCGGCGGCGCCGCAGCCACCGCGGGCGCGGGUGGGGGCGUGGGAGAGUGCCAGCAUACCCAGCAGUGACGACGAGGCGCAGGAGGAGGGACGUGUGGGUGCGCGGCACGGGUCUGGCAGUGACAGUGGCGGUGACAGCGACUAUGGCUCAGACUCCGAGCAACAGCAACAGCAGCGGGGACAAGUGGCAGCCGGAGGCGGGGCGGCGGCGCGGCCGGGCGCAGAGGAGCUGCGGCGGCGGGAGAUCGCUGCGGCGGCGGCUGCAGCCAUUCAGGGGCGGAGCGCCGCAGACCCAGCCGUGCUUGCGGCGGCCACAGGUGUGUGUGGAAGCAGAAGGUUGUUGCGUGCAGGCCACAUGGGUUGUCGAGGAUGGAAGGUCGUGUGUUGUAAGAGCCGUGACUGCCCGCGGGUCGCGUUUGUGCAACCUCAUCUACCCAGCUGCUCUGUCCACAACCGCUGUACCGCUUGAGGCGUGCUGACUUCGCCCAUGUGCCUUGUGCCCAGGUGGUGCGCUGUCACGCGCCGUGGUGAACGCAGCAGCUGGCGGUGGCAGUGGCGGCAGCGGCGGUGAUGCCAGCGGCGGCGGCGCAAUGAAGGUGGACCGCUGGGCUGACUGGGAUCUGGCGGACAGUACGGACGACCUGUCCGCAUGGGCCACUCGGGAUGAGGAUGACCCCAUGCGGGGCGGGCACCUGAAGGGCCUCACGCGGCCUUUGGUCGGCCACAUGGCGCCGGGGGGCGCUGGCGCCGGCGCCGGCGGUGCAUCCACCGCCGCGGCGACUACUGCCGGCGGGGUAGGCGGCGGCGUGGCUGUGGGGGCGGGAAGCGGAGGGAGAGGCGGCAGCUUGGGGCGCUUCGCGCCACCCCAGUCGCUGGCGGCGGCAGCGCCGGGCGCGUACGGGCUGCCGUUGGCGGCGCAACUGCAGCUGCAGGCGGCGGGCGUGGGACGGCCGCCGGCGGCAGCGGCAGCGGCGGCAGCGCCUGCCGGCUCCGCAGCCGGCGGCGGCGGCAGUCGGCCGAUGAGCGCAACGUCAGUCGCCGGUAGUAGGGGUGUUGGCAGCUGUCGCGGCGUUGGGGGUGCAGCGGGCGCCAAAGUGGGCACGGCGUCUGAAGCGGGCGCCGUUGCGCCGCAGAACGGCAAGGCACAUGCAGAGCCGUCAGGGUUAGCUGGUGCGGCGAACGGGCGGCCUAUCAGUGCUCACAGGCUGAGCGGCAGCAGCGGUGGCGGCGGCGGGAAUCAAGAUGGCGGUGGCGGCGAUGGCGGCAGUGACAGCGACAGUGAAAGCUCGGAUGAUGAGUUGCCGCCGCCGCCGCCACCGCCGCCACUGCUGCCGCGCUCAGGCGUUGUACCGGCAGGCGCUAGCGCAGCGGGGCUUGCUACAGCCGCGUCCAACGGCAGUAGCGCUUCGGCGGCGGCGCUUGCCCACACGGCUUCAGGUUCCAGCCCCUCGUCGCCCGCACACCCAAUGCGCCGCCCGCCGCUCGCCCCUUCACCGCCCGCCGGCCCCUCGCCAAGCCCAUUGCGGCCCGCCGCCGCCGCCGCCGGUGCCUCGGCGCCCUCCCGCGGCAACUCCGUCAACAGCCUCUCAAUCGGUGGCGGCGGCGGUGGCGGCGGCGGCAGUAUCUCUGGUGGCAGCGCCGCCUCCACUGCUCCAGCGGAGCCGCUGCCUGGCGCCGUGUAUCUGCAGCACUUUGCCGCAUUUCACGAGAUCCUCACCCUUUGCUACAGCCCCAUACCCACGCUGCUGGAAGCCGCCUCCCUCUCUGCCGCCGCGGCCGCGGCCGGCGCCGCUGCCGGAGGCGGCGGCAGUGGCAGCAUCACCAGCAGUAGCCGCCCGCCAUCACGCAUGGCGACGCCGGGCGGCGGCGGCGGCGGCGGCAUCGGCGGCAGUAGCUUCAGCGGCGCCGACCUGAUGGACCGCUACAGCUCCCUCAUGGCGCGGGCCGAGGCCUGGGUGGGCAAGCUGCAGGCGGCUGUAGCAGCCGGGCAGCUGCCGCCGGAGGCGGCGGCUGCAGCAGCUGCUGCUGCUGCCUCUGCUACAGCCGCGGCCCCGGCCGGGACGACGGUGGCGACGGUUACAGGGGCAGCGGCGGAGCCGCCGCCGCGGCGCUUCGUGGCGGUUAUGGACGACACGGCUCAUCCCGAGGUGCGGGCGGUGGUGGCUGCGGCGCUGGAGCUGUUGGCGGGCGAGGGCUGGUCCUUGGAUCCAGCAGACCAGGUCACGGAGGUGGCCAAACCAGACGCCGCCGCCGCCUCACCAGACGACGACGGACCAGGCACUGGCGGCGGCGCCGUCGCCACCGCCGCCGCCAGCCGCCCCGGCACCGCCGCAUCUUCAUCAUCGGCGGGAGGCGCACGCGGCGGCGGCGGCGCCGCCUUCGGCAGUGGCCCCGGCCAGCGGUGCUGCCACAUGUGGGACGUGUGUUGGAGCUGGAGUGUGCGUGUGCCGCGGCUGACGUCGUACAACGAGUUGCUGGUGUGGCAGCGCGUGAACCACUUCCCGGAGGCGCGGCAGCUGACGCGGAAGGACCUGCUGAAGAAGCACCUGGCCAAAUUCCAGGUGAGGGGGUAACUACGGCAGUUGGAAAGCAGUUGGAUAGGAGCUUAGCCCAUGGCCUGUAGUCAGAAGCAAAAGGGAAUAACAGUGCCGAACGGAGGGCAUCUGCAGGGGUACUGUACAGGAUGGGAGAACUGAGGCGUGUGCAGUACAUACGCCCCGCCAACCACCAACGCCACAUCACAGUUGCCACCCGUGGUUGCCACCCCAAGAAAUGCCACACUGUGAUUUAAUCGCUCCGUUCUCCAUUUACGGCCACCCCCAACACCCCCCCUCCCUCCAGGCCAUGCACAACACUGGCCGGGCGGCUGCGCUGUUCGACCGGCUGACUCCCACCACCUUCACGCUGCCCAAGGAGGCGGCGGCCUUCCAGGAGGCCUACGUGCGGGCGCUGCACGGAGUGGAGCCCACCUGCGUGCAGGUGCGUGGGCGUGCGGGCAUGCGUGCGUGCGUGUUUGUAUGUGUGCGUUUGGGCUGUGUGCGCGUGUGUUAGGGGGUCACAUUCAGGGUUAGUCAAGAAAGUGGUAGACGGAGGGGGCAGGGUGACUUGUGUGCGUGCGGGUCUUGAUGGUAUAAGGGGGUGCCUGGAUUGGUGCUAGGAUGAGGUUUUUGGUUCUGCGUACGCCGCGCCUGCUCCUGGUUCUGCGCCCUCGCCUACUGCUUGCCUGCCUGUGUCCACCCACACCUCCCUGGCUACAACUCCGCUUCUCCUGAAUAAGUCAUGAAUGUAACCCCAACCCUUGGUCCCCGCCGCCCCCACACGCCCCGCAGCCCAUGGGUUUGAACCUGUGGAUCCAGAAGCCCGUGGGUCUGUCGCGCGGCCGCGGGAUCAGCCUGCUCACCUCGCUCAAACAGAUGAACACGUCGGAGCCGGUGGUGGUGCAGAGGUGCGCGUGAGCGUACUACAUCCACAGAACGGCGGUGCAUGUAUGGUGUGUGACUUCAAACCAGCACGUUGGGGAGAGGAUCGGCACCGUACCGUACAGCGUAUGCGUUUGCCCGCAUGCGGUGAAUUGCCCCGCCUUUGGUCCCGCCAAUGCCUACAGCUGCGCCCGACCUCCCCAUCCCCCUCCUCCCCCUCCCCCUUUUCCCCUCAAAUCCUCCUGGUGAUCCGCGUUCUCCCUCCUCCCCCUCCCCCGCUACCCCUCCCCUCCCCUCCUCCACACCUCACAGGUACCUGACUGACCCGCUGUUGGUGCGCGGCCACAAGUUUGACCUGCGGCUGUACGUGCUGGUGGCGGGCUUCAACCCGCUGGAGGCCUGGAUGUACGAGGAGGGCUUCGCCAGGUGGGGUGGGGGGCGUGAGGGGUGCACCGGAUGUGUGCGUGUGUGUGUGUGUGUGUGUGUGUGUGUGUGUGUGUGUGUGUGUGUUUGCGUGUGUGUGGUUUUCUGCUGUGGGUAGAACAAGGACUUAGCGGGCAGGUACCGGUGUGUUGGAAAUGAAGGCCUAUCUCCAUCGGACGCCCAUGCGGGGGCUGCCUUGAGAUUAGCAGUGCAAGCUAUAGAAAGGUUGUUUGGUGGAGGAUAUGCACCAUGCGGGAGGAGUGCACUGCAUCAUAUGGCGAGGGCACGCCCCCCACCAACAUCACUGCCGUACACAAACCCACGCACACACCCCGUGUGUUCACACACACACACACACACACACAUACAUACAUACACACACACACACAUGAACACAGGUUCAGCACGCUGCCUUUCAGCCUGGACGAGGCCCAGCUGGGCGACCUGCACGUGCACCUCACCAACAGCAGCCUGCACCGGGCGCGGGCGGAGGCGGGGCAGCUGCCGGACUUCCUCGCGGAGGCGGGUGCGUGCGUGCUUGGGAGGAUGGGGCGGGCAGGGGGGCGGGCGGGCGGGGAAGGGGAGAGGUGAUGGGGGGCGGUUGGGUGCGCGAGCUGGGUGCGGGGUUGGGCGUGUGGGUGGCGAGUUGGGCGGGUUGGGAGGAGGUGCGGGUUCGUGUGGCGUUGGGCAGGGAUGCGCGGGGCAGCGCAGCAGUGCUACCCAGCCGGCCCAUGUGACCUCACGGCUCCUCUGUACGUGUGCGCAUGUGCGUGUAUAUGUGUGUGCGUGUGCGUGUGCGUGUGCGUGUGCGUGCGCGUAUGCGUGUCGAAUUGAAAGGCCGAACACGACGGCGCUGGAGGCAAGUAUCGAUACCCACCUGUGUGGGUACGUGUACCGUGUGUGUGUGUGUGUGUGUGUGUGUGUGUGUGUGUGUGUGUGUGUGUGUGUGUGUGUGUGUGUGUGUGUGUGUCACGACGCGCUGUCAGUACCUCCAUGCCGCCCUGCCCCGCCCCCCACAGAGCCGGCGGGCGGCUCCAAGACCAGUCUGGCCACACUGCGCAAGCUGCUGGCCAAACAGGUGGGCGCAUGCAUGUGUGUGUGUGCGUGUGUGUUAGAUUGCACAGGGAAGGAAACACGCAAUGGGUGUGCGUGUGUGUUCGGAAAGCACAGGGGGAAAGGGUUUGAGGGUGUGCGUGUGCGUCUGUAUAUGCGUCUGCAUGUUUCCCAAUGCCAUGGGUAGGCCUCGCCUUCACACCACACCGCCCCUCCACCCCAAGGGCGCGGACUGGCAGUCGCUGUGGGGCCGCAUCUCCGAGCUGGUCACCGCGGCGCUGUUCGCGGCCCAGGAGUCCGGGCCCAUACCGCACGCGCCCAACGCCUUCGAGCUGUUCGGGUUCGACGUCAUGAUCGACGCCCAGCUCAAGGUGGGUGGGGGAAGGGGUGGUGGGAGGAGUGACAACAUGGGUAUUCACCCAACGCAUCCCCCUCCUGUGCGCUUUGCUGGCGGGCUUCGGGCUCUGCACCUCGCGCCCCCGGCCCCCGCAAAGCACCCCCACUCCCUACACCCCACCUCCCUCCCACAGGUGUGGCUGCUGGAGGUCAACUCCAGCCCCAGCCUGGGUCUGGACACGGCCCUGGACCGCGCCGUGAAGCCACGGCUGGUGGCGGAUGUGCUGGCGCUGCUGGGGCCGCCGGCGUGGGACAGGGGCGCGCUGGCGGGCGUGCUGAGGGCGAGGACGUGCACGGGUGAGGGCGGGAGAGGGGGCGGGGAUGGGGUGGGGCGGGGAGUGGAUGGGUGGGAUCAUGGAUGUGUGGGAUCGGAUGGGACUGGAAUGGUUGCUUGGGCGAACAUUGCGCGGUGUCAGGGGAGGCGUGGUGUGGGGCUGCUGGUGUGUGGUUGUCGGGAUAGUUGGGGUGUGGGUGUGGGGCACGCACCUGCGCACAGCACGCCAUGCGGGAUCAGGCUGGCCCUCUGGACCCGGUCACUCGGGUCACUCGUGUCGCUCAUGAUGCUCACUGCAUGCCGGCCCCUGUCUGUGUAUGUGCGCCUGUGAUGUGCCGGACCCUCAGGCCGUGGCAGCCGGCGCGGCGCCCCGGGUCUGCUGAGCGGCACCGUGUCAGAGGAAAAGGAGCUCGCGGCGGCAGACCUGGCGGCAGUGUUUGGAGGAGGACGUGGAGCCGUGGCAGCGACAACAGCAGUGGUGGGGACAGGAGGGGGAGGGGGAGGAGCAGGGAAUGGGGCCGGCGGAGGCGGCUCGCUGCCGCGGCGCUAUGGCGAGCAGCCGACGUGUCUGGGCGGCUUCACCACGCGCCUGGCGCCCUCGCCCUUCCACGACCGACUGCUGAGGCUGAGGCGGCCGCUGCCGUGAGCGGAGAGAGGGCGUGUACGGUGGGCGAGACACGGGGAUGGGGCGUGGGGCAAAUGAGGGGCGAGCGAGUAGCCAUGAAGCGUGGCGUGGCGUGGGUGUGCUGAUGUCGGGAAUAAGGUUGUGAGGUUGGGCGUUGGGCGGCGGUCAAGUUUCAUGCGAAGGUUGCUGGUGCGAGCUCUUGCUGGCGGUGCCUGUACAGACCAUCCUGGCUUGUCAAGGAGAACCAAAGCUAUUUUGGGUUGUGCCCCUUGCCAGGUUCUCACACCUCAAUAAUGCUCAGCAAGCCAGUCAGUCCGUGGCCCACCAAGUUACGAGUUCCCUGAGUUCAUUGUGACAAUUUGGCCUAGUGGCCGCGUCUCUCUAUGCCUCAAUCCGGCAGACGCUUCUGAGCGAGGCGGUCCUGCCCUCAAUUGCAAUCGCCACAUUGCCACGGCGGACCCACAGACGACGCGACAGGGCGAGCAAGCGGGUGUAUGCCACUCAAUGCACUGACGCGGAAUCUCGCGGAAGUUCAACCCGCCGCCGCGCCCAUUUUCCUCCCCCCCCCCACGUCCGCCGUCCUGAGCUACGGCCCCUCAAGCGUUGCGCCUGUACCAUACUGACAUACACGGCUCAGUGGGUGAGGGCUCAGUGGGGCUCAGUGGGUGAGGGCUGGGUGACGGCGCAGUCGUGGGCUCAGUGGGACUCACUCACUCUACCCUCCCGACGGUGCAGGGACGUGACGUCAACUCCGCAACCAACAUCCGGCACGCGCUGGUGGAGAUGCUUCUCGGGCACAAGCGACCUGCAUCGCUGCAGACUGGCGGCGGCGGCGGCAGCGGUGGCGGCGGCAGCAGCGGCGGCGGCAGCGGCGGCGGCAGCAGCGGGGGCGCGUGCGCGCAUCUUGGUAGCGCAGGGGGCGGGAAAGGCCACAUGGAGGAGGAGAGCGCAGCGCCGCCCAAGAAGCAGCGCAAGCGCGCAGGCUGAGGAGCCGGCUGGUGUCUAGGUAGCGGCCCGCGGUGGGGCUGGCAGGGCAUGCGUAGCGGCAUGACAAGUAGUGCGGCUGUUGACAACUGUGCUUCUGCUGUGGCAUCGCGACUGCUAGACAGGCACCUGGUUUGGCUAUGUGCCUGUGGAAACCGACCCCGGCUAUGUCCGGGCGAUGAGGUUGUUCGGCCCCAGACUGUGGAGGGGCUCAGCCCCUUUUCCCGUGACCGGGGAACACUUGUCCUCCGCCGCCUCGGGGGUUCAUUACAGAAGGGAGCUUAAGCUCUGACCACUCUCACCGACAAACUUUCUCCACGAGUCAACUACAAACGGCUAGAUGCUGCGGGAUUAUAAGGUCCGUGCCGAAAUAUCAAACACAAUCUUUCUGCCUUCGCCUCCCCCAUUUCUCCCACCUCCCGCCCCAGCCCUGCACCAAUGCCGCCCUGCCUUUGACGGCCGCUGACGGACAAGACUACGAAGCGCCAGGGCAGUUCGUGUUCAACGUGACACACGCCGCUAACAAUGGCUGCCCCCUCACCAUCUUUGAGGUGCCACCCAUCCACAACAGCGCCUGGCUGCGACAAUCCAACCGUAAUGUACAAUAACAGUGCCAUCAGGCUUGAAGUCAGACCCAUGCCAAAACGACCCGCAAAGGUGACCCAUGCCAAUCCACCGCGACCGCUCCUAUGUGUGCACGUCCUUGCAUGCCUUGCGCUUGCAAUCAAGUCCGCUGUUUUCCACGUUACAUGUAGGGGUCGAUUUGUUUCGCCCUCAGCCUCCGUCCAGGGCCUAGGUUCCGACCUAGCCCUUGAGUUCUGGCAAAACCGGCCAGCAACCUUCACCAAGUCACAGUCACUGCCAGUGGCUGGGCAGGUGCACAGCGCCGAUGUUGAAUAUCUCAAUCCGCGCCACCAGUACCGCUUCACUACGACCAUCUUCCACACUGUUGCGUCUGUGCUGACCGAUGGGUGCUGGUCCAUCCCGGCACUUGGUCCGCCCAAGUACGGGUCAGGGGCUCAGCGGCGGCCACGCUUGGUAGUGCGCCGGGCCGCCUGAUCAGCAGCCACCUGCUCCGGGUCCAGCGGGGCCACGCGUGCAGCCUGGAGCAGCUGCCACAGCGCGGGUGCCGUCGUGAAGACACCCACGCUGUUCUUGUGUCCGACGCUUCGCCGGCUGAGCUCCGCCGACUUGGCGACGUCCCCAGCCGCGGCAGCGACUGCGUCCGCCGCCAGGGCGUCAGCGCCUGGCGUCCACAGUGCAUCGGGGUCUCGUUCGAUUAGGGCCGGCGAUGUGCUGCUGCUGCCGCUGCUUCUGCCGCUAGCGCUAGUGCCGGUGCUGUUGCCGCCGCCGCUGCCACUGUCGGUGCUGGGGUGGCUGGUGGCAUCGUCCAGGUGAUACACGAUGCCGGUGUAGAUGCCAGCUAGCAGCAGCGUGUCGCCGCCACUGACGCUGCUGCCGCUGAGCACCGCACCGCCGGAGCUGUUGGGCAUUCCUGGAGUGAAUAUGGGCGCAGGCAGGCAGGCACGUGGGCGGAUCCAGGUCAAUAGGUGGUGUGCCAAGGCUGAAGCUAGAGAACAGUGGACACACAAUCACAAUGACAUGGCACCUGACCGUUGAUCGUCACAUGCUACCACCUACCUCCGUACGGUACUUGUGGCCGCGAACUUGUCAACACCCACUCACGUACCUGUAUUGGCGGAUGCAAUGCCCCGCAGUCCAGUGGCGCUGAUCUUCGAGAGCACGCAUGUGUCCACCGUCGGCACCUCGGCUGCCGUGGUCAUGACUGGGCCUGCUGAGCCUGCUGCUGCCCCGCCUGCCCCACCUGGCGGCAGGCUUGCGUCGUCGGCCGCCAGCUCCUGGUUGACAGCCAGGGGGAACGACGCCACACCCAGCCACUCGCCCGGUAGCAGCGUCCACUGCCGCAGCCACAGGCCGGGGCCCCGGCGGCCGCGGAACACGGCCACGUCCAGGUCCGCCCGCGCCGCCACGAAGCGCAGCGCCGACCUAAACGCGCUGAGGUCGUGCAGGCAGGCGCCGCCCUCCUCGAUGCAGUGCCGCGCCGUCAGGACAAUGUUGCCCGUGCCGUCGCCGAACGUCGCGACGCGCACGGCGGUCCCUAUGCUCGCGCCCGCGUGCAUGACCCGGCUGACGCUGCCGAACACCGCAGGAAGGCCGCGCAGAGUUGCUGCGUCUCCUGCGGUAAAUGGUGGGGGCGGGGUGGAGGGAGUCGGGUGCUUUCCGUGGGUGCAGCAGCAUGGAGCGAGCGCGUGUCCCUGGGCAGCUCCCGCAGUCAAUUGGCUAGCAACUGUGUCCCAUUCUGCACUCAUCACUGGUGACCUGGUUGCCAUCGCCGCAUGAUGCUAAAGCUGGUGUUUUUGCUCAGGUCAAGCCGCCGGUGAGCACAUUGAUGUGCCAUCCCAAUGAAAACUCACCGACUCCUGCCGCACUCCCCACGCCCAGGCCAGCCGCCGAGGCUGCACGACAUGAGAGCGGUACGAGUUGCACGUACGUCAAAGUGUGCAGACGCGACGCGCGGAAAUGCGAAGCGCGCUUGCGUUACGCUGCCAAUUAUACCGUCUUGGUCCCGACGUGCGUGCAUGCCGCUGCACGUCUCAGGCGCGCGACCUCUCCCAAACACCCCAUGGACGCUUCCCAAGCCUCCCGCAUACCGUAGCGCGAAACAACAACCCCAAUAUGCGUUUAGGAUAUUCAUCUGUUGGUCGGUCAAUCAGACACGCCCGGCUGUGCCCACAGCGGCGAAAGCAGACUCCCGCGACGGCAACACCCUCAGCUCCCAGUCGCAGAACCUUCCGCGUGCUCAUGCGACUGAUGCCUGUGGCCUACCUUUAAAUACUAGGUAGGCCCCGCAGCAUACAUGCAUAACAGGACCUCACCUUGCGCAUGGAUAAUUUGGUCCGCCCUCGCGGGUCUGAGCCCAGCUUGCUGGAGGCCUGUAUGGCUGGCAUCCUUCAGGUCAUCCAUCGUAGCGUAGCCACCCUCCAAUAGCAGGCGCAGGUCUGCGUCGGUGAACGUGCCAGCUCUUGCAGGCCCGAGCAGGCUCUCCAAAGCCGCCCGCAGGUUGACCAAAGCCAUAUCCUGGGACCCAAGUGCGUUAUUAUACAGGGAUUUCUU